Molecule: small nucleolar RNA, 130 nt
Organism: Nycticebus coucang (slow loris)
Lineage: Eukaryota; Metazoa; Chordata; Mammalia; Primates; Lorisidae
Product: small nucleolar RNA SNORA27
Exons: 1
Source: RefSeq, a predicted model, not a curated record
GGCGCCCUACUCACUGAGCCACAGGUGCCGCCCUGGACUUAUGUCUUUACUGGUCAUUCAAGUGGGGCAAAGGAAAUAUCCUUUUAAAACUCAGGCAAACUGGUGUCUGUCUUGUAUCCUUUCUUUUUUU